Molecule: ribosomal RNA, 497 nt
Filed under: uncultured bacterium
Lineage: Bacteria
Description: partial 16S ribosomal RNA
Rfam family: Bacterial small subunit ribosomal RNA
Source: RNAcentral
GAUGAACGCUGGCGGCGUGCCUAAUACAUGCAAGUCGAGCGAACAGACGAGGAGCUUGCUCCUCUGACGUUAGCGGCGGACGGGUGAGUAACACGUGGAUAACCUACCUAUAAGACUGGGAUAACUUCGGGAAACCGGAGCUAAUACCGGAUAAUAUAUUGAACCGCAUGGUUCAAUAGUGAAAGACGGUUUUGCUGUCACUUAUAGAUGGAUCCGCGCCGCAUUAGCUAGUUGGUAAGGUAACGGCUUACCAAGGCGACGAUGCGUAGCCGACCUGAGAGGGUGAUCGGCCACACUGGAACUGAGCAACGGUCCAGACUCCUACGGGAGGCAGCAGUAGGGAAUCUUCCGAAAUGGGCGAAAGCCUGACGGAGCAACGCCGCGUGAGUGAUGAAGGUCUUCGGAUCGUAAAACUCUGUUAUUAGGGAAGAACAAAUGUGUAAGUAACUAUGCACGUCUUGACGGUACCUAAUCAGAAAGCCACGGCUAACUACGUG